GCAUGGAUCUGCGGGAAAAGGAUUUAUUCGCUUCAGGAUGGACUCGCGUCCAAUUAGCUAGUUGGUGAGGUAACGGCCCACCAAGGCGACGAUUGGUAGCCGGACUGAGAGGUUGAACGGCCACAUUGGGACUGAGACACGGCCCAGACUCCUACGGGAGGCAGCAGUGGGGGAUAUUGCACAAUGGGGGAAACCCUGAUGCAGCGACGCCGCGUGGAGGAAGAAGGUUUUCGGAUUGUAAACUCCUGUCGUUAGGGACGAUAAUGACGGUACCUAACAAGAAAGCACCGGCUAACUACGUGCCAGCAGCCGCGGUAAAACGUAGGGUGCAAGCGUUGUCCGGAAUUACUGGGUGUAAAGGGAGCGCAGGCGGACCGGCAAGUUGGAAGUGAAAACUAUGGGCUCAACCCAUAAAUUGCUUUCAAAACUGCUGGCCUUGAGUAGUGCAGAGGUAGGUGGAAUUCCCGGUGUAGCGGUGGAAUGCGUAGAUAUCGGGAGGAACACCAGUGGCGAAGGCGACCUACUGGGCAUCAACUGACGCUGAGGCUCGAAAGCAUGGGUAGCAAACAGGAUUAGAUACCCUGGUAGUCCAUGCCGUAAACGAUGAUUACUAGGUGUUGGAGGAUUGACCCCUUCAGUGCCG
RNAcentral lists this ribosomal RNA (643 nucleotides) under uncultured bacterium. RNAcentral's name for it is "bacterial SSU rRNA". It matches the Rfam family "Bacterial small subunit ribosomal RNA", at positions 188 to 848 of the family's 1533-position model. The record is from RNAcentral.